RNAcentral lists this transfer RNA (71 nucleotides) under Marmota monax (woodchuck). It matches the Rfam family "tRNA". Rfam says of the family: Transfer RNA (tRNA) molecules are approximately 80 nucleotides in length. Their secondary structure includes four short double-helical elements and three loops (D, anti-codon, and T loops). Further hydrogen bonds mediate the characteristic L-shaped molecular structure. tRNAs have two regions of fundamental functional importance: the anti-codon, which is responsible for specific mRNA codon recognition, and the 3' end, to which the tRNAs corresponding amino acid is attached (by aminoacyl-tRNA synthetases). tRNAs cope with the degeneracy of the genetic code in two manners: having more than one tRNA (with a specific anti-codon) for a particular amino acid; and 'wobble' base-pairing, i.e. permitting non-standard base-pairing at the 3rd anti-codon position. Lineage: Eukaryota; Metazoa; Chordata; Mammalia; Rodentia; Sciuridae. The record is from Rfam by way of RNAcentral.
GGAGCUGUGGCUCAGUGGUAGAGCGUUCAUCUUGCAUGUGUGGGGGGCCCUGGGUUAGAUCCUCAGCACCA